Molecule: small nuclear RNA, 264 nt
Filed under: Carlito syrichta (Philippine tarsier)
Lineage: Eukaryota; Metazoa; Chordata; Mammalia; Primates; Tarsiidae
Description: 7SK RNA (ENSTSYG00000032332.1)
Rfam family: 7SK RNA
About the family: 7SK was discovered as an abundant small nuclear RNA in the mid-70s but a possible function has only recently been suggested. Two independent studies have found that 7SK RNA binds the CDK9/cyclin T complex (known as elongation factor P-TEFb). P-TEFb activates transcription by phosphorylating the C-terminal domain of RNA polymerase II.
Source: RNAcentral
GUAGUUUAAAAAAUGACAUCUGUCACCUCACUGAUCGCCAGGGUUGAUUUGGCUGACAUGGGUGGCUAGGCAAGUGUCCUCUUCCUUUUCCACCACUCCAUGUGCAUCUCUCCUGGAGCUGUGUGCUCCGUUUAAUAGGAUAACCAUCCCCGCCUCAAGAGGACCAUUCUUUGGUCAAGAGUAUCUGAGUAACUACUCUUCCCUGUUAGAACCUCCAAACAAGCUCUCAAACCUCUGUCUCUAUCACAGGGUCUUCCACCCCUG